UACGAAGGGUGCAAACGUUGCUCGGAAUUAUUGGGCGUAAAGCGCACGUAGGCGGCUUGGCAAGUCGGAUGUGAAAUCCCUCGGCUCAACCAAGGAAGUGCAUCCGAAACUGCUGAGCUUGAGUUCUUAAGAGGAUCGCGGAAUUCCCGGUGUAGAGGUGAAAUUCGUAGAUAUCGGGAGGAACACCAGUGGCGAAGGCGGCGUCCUGGACCAACACUGACACUGAUGAGCGAAAGCCAGGGGAGCAAACGGG
Molecule: ribosomal RNA, 253 nt
Filed under: uncultured bacterium
Lineage: Bacteria
Description: partial 16S ribosomal RNA
Rfam family: Bacterial small subunit ribosomal RNA
Source: RNAcentral